This 377-nucleotide unclassified non-coding RNA is filed under the name uncultured Actinomycetes bacterium. RNAcentral's name for it is "uncultured actinobacterium contains 16S-23S intergenic spacer region". The record is from RNAcentral. Lineage: Bacteria; Bacillati; Actinomycetota; Actinomycetes.
UCCGGUUUGGCACCGGCAGUCUCCAAUGAGUCCCCGGCAUUACCCGCUGGUAACAGAACAUGAGGGUUGCGCUCGUUGCGGGACCUAACCCAACAUUUCACAACACGAGCUGACGACAGCCAUGCACCACCUGUGUAGCACCCUCGAAGGCGACCACGUUUCGGCGGCUUGCAGCUACAUGUCAAGCCCUGGUAAGGUUCUUCGCGUUGCGUCGAAUUAAACCACAUGCUCCGCUGCUUGCGCGGGUCCCCGUCAAUUCCUUUGAGUUUUAGCCUUGCGGCCGUACUCCCCAGGCGGGGCACUUAAUGCGUUAGCGUCGGCACGGGAGGAGUCGACACCUCCCACACCUAGUGCCCAUCGUUUACGGCGUGGACUAC